AGAGUUUGAUCCUGGCUCAGGAUGAACGCUAGCGACAGGCUUAACACAUGCAAGUCGAGGGGCAGCGGGGGCGUAGCAAUAUGCCUGCCGGCGACCGGCGUACGGGUGAGUAACACGUAUGUAACCUGCCCUAUGCAGGGGGAUAACCCGGAGAAAUCCGGCCUAAUACCGCGUAACACCUUAGGGGAGCAUUCUCUUGAGGUUAAAGGAGAGAUCCGGCAUAGGAUGGACAUGCGUCGCAUUAGGUAGACGGCGGGGUAACGGCCCACCGUGCCGACGAUGCGUAGGGGUUCUGAGAGGAAGGCCCCCCACACUGGUACUGAGACACGGACCAGACUCCUACGGGAGGCAGCAGUGAGGAAUAUUGGUCAAUGGCCGAGAGGCUGAACCAGCCAAGUCGCGUGAGGGAAGAAUGUCCUAAGGAUUGUAAACCUCUUUUGUCGGGGAGCAAAAAGGCUCUGCGGAGUCGUAUUGAGAGUACCCGAAGAAAAAGCAUCGGCUAACUCCGUGCCAGCAGCCGCGGUAAUACGGAGGAUGCGAGCGUUAUCCGGAUUUAUUGGGUUUAAAGGGUGCGCAGGCGGCGUGUCAAGCAAGCGGUAAAAUAGCGGGGCUCAACCCCGUCGAGCCGUUUGAACUGGCGCGCUUGAGUUCAGGCGAGGUAGGCGGAAUUCGUGGUGUAGCGGUGAAAUGCAUAGAUAUCACGAAGAACUCCGAUUGCGAAGGCAGCUUACCAGUCUGCGACUGACGCUCAGGCACGAAAGUGUGGGUAUCGAACAGGAUUAGAUACCCUGGUAGUCCACACAGUAAACGAUGA
This 814-nucleotide ribosomal RNA is filed under the name uncultured bacterium. Its description in RNAcentral is "bacterial SSU rRNA". It matches the Rfam family "Bacterial small subunit ribosomal RNA", at positions 8 to 812 of the family's 1533-position model. The record is from RNAcentral.